RNAcentral lists this long non-coding RNA (537 nucleotides) under Pan troglodytes (chimpanzee). Its description in RNAcentral is "long non-coding RNA NONPTRT003147". The record is from RNAcentral. Lineage: Eukaryota; Metazoa; Chordata; Mammalia; Primates; Hominidae.
CCUAUUGACACAACACUUCACUGUUUUCUAAACCCUUUUGAGGAUUCACUGACUCAUCAGAUCUACACCACUCUCUGGUGAGGGGGCUGGGCAAGGGUUGUGCUCAUGAUAGAGCUGAAUCAACUGGUUCCCAGGAGGGCCAGUGACUUGCACAAAGUCAUCCAUCAGGUCACUGACAAGCUCUAUGACAAGGACCUUGAACUCCUGGCUCCUCCUAGUCCAGUUCUCUCUCUGUUCUAGCCCAAUGUCUCUCCUGGUAAUGUACUGUUAGGUAAUACUGUUUAUCAAACUUUAGUAUUUAAAGUAAUUUCUCAGACAAUCUUCAUGCGACAUCACCAACAGGUUAACAAAGCCAUUAAAGCUCCUAGUGAUUGGAACCUGCAAACAUGCCACUAGAACAUAGCGAAGUUGAUCAACCUGUGAUUGUGUUGCCUCACUUAAGAUGUGUACGCUGCCUGUUGCACAGCUCUUCCUUCAAUUCCAAAAGCAAACUCUCUCACUUUGGGAGGUACUGUGUCAGUUACUAUCACAGUGCUC